Molecule: long non-coding RNA, 401 nt
Organism: Misgurnus anguillicaudatus (oriental weatherfish)
Lineage: Eukaryota; Metazoa; Chordata; Actinopteri; Cypriniformes; Cobitidae
Source: RefSeq, a predicted model, not a curated record
UUAUUUUAUAUCUUUAAUAUUCCCAUUUCAAAUGCCCUCUCUUGCAUUAUAAAAACAAUGUCAGGGUUGCCUCAUUGUGAGUCACAUGACUAAAGUUUCACCAGUAUCAUGAGGGGACGUCCUUCCUCUCCAGCCCCUCAGGACAGUGAUCUAUACAUAGAGCCGCUGCUAUUGACCUUAUGCUUCUCUGUGAUGUAUAUUUAGGUGGGGUGUAAGUGUGUCUGGCCAGGAUUUGUGCACGUGUGUGAAGCGUGAAGGUCUCUUUCGGUGAAUCAUGAUCUCUGACAAUGAGAAGAAACGCCCGAGAUGAAGUUCAAGUCUCUGUGGACUGUAAUGAUUCAGACUUUUAUAUCCCUGCACUGCACUACAGUUCUCCGAAGUUAGAGGUAUCAACCAAGUAA